UACGUAGGGGGCAAGCGUUAUCCGGAAUUAUUGGGCGUAAAGAGUACGUAGGUGGUUUUGUAAGCGCGGGGUGAAAGGCAGUGGCUUAACCAUUGUUAGCCUUGCGAACUGCAAGACUUGAGUGCAGGAGAGGGAAGCGGAAUUCCUAGUGUAGCGGUGAAAUGCGUAGAUAUUAGGAGGAACACCAGUGGCGAAGGCGGCUUUCUGGACUGUAACUGACACUGAGGUACGAAAGCGUGGGGAGCAAACAGU
Molecule: ribosomal RNA, 252 nt
Filed under: uncultured bacterium
Lineage: Bacteria
Description: partial 16S ribosomal RNA
Rfam family: Bacterial small subunit ribosomal RNA
Source: RNAcentral